RNAcentral lists this ribosomal RNA (440 nucleotides) under uncultured bacterium. RNAcentral describes it as "partial 16S ribosomal RNA". It matches the Rfam family "Bacterial small subunit ribosomal RNA", at positions 338 to 795 of the family's 1533-position model. The record is from RNAcentral.
CCUACGGGGCGCAGCAGUGGGGAAUAUUGCACAAUGGGGGAAACCCUGAUGCAGCAACGCCGCGUGAGUGAAGAAGUAUCUCGGUAUGUAAAGCUCUAUCAGCAGGGAAGAAAGUAACGAUACCUGACCAAGAAGCCCCGGCUAACUACGUGCCAGCAGCCGCGGUGAUACGUAGGGGGCGAGCGUUAUCCGGCUUUCCUGGGUGUAAAGGGGGCGCAGACGGCCAUGCAAGCCAGGAGUGAAAGCUAUGGGCCCAACCCCGGGACUGCUCUUGGAACUGCAUGGCUGGAGUACAGGAGGGGCAGGCGGAAUUCCGAGUGUAGCGGUGAAAUGCGUAGAUAUUAGGAGGAACACCGGUGGCGAAGGCGGCCUGCUGGACUGUGACUGACGUUGAGGCCCGAAGGCGUGGGGAGCAAACAGGAUUAGAUACCCGUGUAGUC